UUUGACCUCGGAUCAGGUAGGAAUACCCGCUGAACUUAAGCAUAUCAAUAAAGGCGGAGGAAA
RNAcentral lists this ribosomal RNA (63 nucleotides) under Diaporthe sp. 14 PRJ-2013. RNAcentral describes it as "partial 28S ribosomal RNA". The record is from RNAcentral. Lineage: Eukaryota; Fungi; Ascomycota; Sordariomycetes; Diaporthales; Diaporthaceae.